This is a small nuclear RNA of Ochotona princeps (American pika), 104 nucleotides long. The record is from Ensembl. Lineage: Eukaryota; Metazoa; Chordata; Mammalia; Lagomorpha; Ochotonidae.
GUGCUCGCUUUGGCAGCACAUAUACUAAAACUGGAACGAUACAGAGAUUAGCAUGGUCCCUGAGCAAGGAUGACACGCAAAUUUGUGAAGCAUUCCAUAUUUUU